Molecule: ribosomal RNA, 426 nt
Filed under: uncultured bacterium
Lineage: Bacteria
Description: bacterial SSU rRNA
Rfam family: Bacterial small subunit ribosomal RNA
Source: RNAcentral
GGACCCGCACAAGUAGUGGAGCAUGUGGUUUAAUUCGAAGAUACGCGCAGAACCUUACCAGGGUUUGACAUCCUGCGAAUCUCUUGGAAACGAGAGAGUGCCUUCGGGAACGCAGUGACAGGUGGUGCAUGGCUGUCGUCAGCUCGUGUCGUGAGAUGUUGGGUUAAGUCCCGCAACGAGCGCAACCCACGUCUUUAGUUGCCAGCAUUUAGUUGGGCACUCUAGAGAGACUGCCGGUGAUAAACCGGAGGAAGGUGUGGAUGACGUCAAGUCAUCAUGCCCCUUACAUCCUGGGCUACACACGUACUACAAUGCUACGGACAAAGGGCUGCAAGUUCGCGAGGACAAGCAAAUCCCAUAAACCGUGGCUCAGUUCAGAUCGUAGGCUGCAACUCGCCUACGUGAAGGCGGAAUCGCUAGUAAUCG